UAAGGAAUAUUGGUCAAUGGGCGCAAGCCUGAACCAGCCAUGCCGCGUGCAGGAUGACGGCCCUAUGGGUUGUAAACUGCUUUUGUACGGGAAAAAACCCUCCGACGUGUCGGGGGCUGAUGGUACCGUAAGAAUAAGGAUCGGCUAACUCCGUGCCAGCAGCCGCGGUAAUACGGAGGAUCCUAGCGUUAUCCGGAUUUAUUGGGUUUAAAGGGUGCGCAGGCGGAAUUAUAAGUCAGUGGUGAAAUCCUGCAGCUUAACUGCAGAACUGCCAUUGAUACUGUUAUUCUUGAGUAUAUUUGAAGUGGGCGGAAUGUGUCAUGUAGCGGUGAAAUGCUUAGAUAUGACACAGAACACCAAUUGCGAAGGCAGCUCACUAAACUAUAACUGACGCUCAUGCACGAAAGCGUGGGGAUCAAACAGG
Molecule: ribosomal RNA, 424 nt
Filed under: uncultured Bacteroidota bacterium
Lineage: Bacteria; Pseudomonadati; Bacteroidota
Description: bacterial SSU rRNA
Rfam family: Bacterial small subunit ribosomal RNA
Source: RNAcentral